GAUGAACGCUGGCGGCGUGCCUAAUACAUGCAAGUCGAGCGAACAGACGAGGAGCUUGCCCCUCUGACGUUAGCGGCGGACGGGUGAGUAACACGUGGAUAACCUACCUAUAAGACUGGGAUAACUUCGGGAAACCGGAGCUAAUACCGGAUAAUAUAUUGAACCGCAUGGUUCAAUAGUGAAAGACGGUUUUGCUGUCACUUAUAGAUGGAUCCGCGCCGCAUUAGCUAGUUGGUAAGGUAACGGCUUACCAAGGCAACGAUGCGUAGCCGACCUGAGAGGGUGAUCGGCCACACUGGAACGGAGACACGGUCCAGACUCCUACGGGAGGCAGCAGUAGGGAAUCUUCCGCAAUGGGCGAAAGCUUGACGGAGCAACGCCGCGUGAGUGAUGAAGGUCUUCGGAUCGUAAAACUCUGUUAUUAGGGAAGAACAAAUGUGUAAGUAACUAUGCACGUCUUGACGGUACCUAAUCAGAAAGCCACGGCUAACUACGUG
Molecule: ribosomal RNA, 497 nt
Filed under: uncultured bacterium
Lineage: Bacteria
Description: partial 16S ribosomal RNA
Rfam family: Bacterial small subunit ribosomal RNA
Source: RNAcentral